GAGUUUGAUCGUGGCUCAGAACGAACGCUGGCGGCAUGCCUAACACAUGCAAGUCGAACGAACUCUUCGGAGUUAGUGGCGCACGGGUGCGUAACGCGUGGGAAUCUGCCCUUGGGUACGGAAUAACUCAGAGAAAUUUGUGCUAAUACCGUAUAAUGACUUCGGUCCAAAGAUUUGUCGCCCAAAGGAUGAGCCCGCGUAAGAUUAGCUAGUUGGUGGGUAAAGGCCGUACCAAGGCUACGAUCUUUAGCUGGUCUGAGAGGAUGAUCAGCCACACUGGGACUGAGACACGGCCCAGACUCCUACGGGAGGCAGCAGUGGGGGAAUAUUGGACAAUGGGCGAAAGCCUGAUCCAGCAAUGCCGCGUGAGUGAUGAAGGCCUUAGGGUUGUAAAGCUCUUUUACCCGGGUAUGAUAACGACAGUACCGGGAGGAAUAAAGCUCCGGCUAACUCCGUGCCAGCCGCCGCCGUAACACCUGG
This 480-nucleotide ribosomal RNA is filed under the name uncultured microorganism. RNAcentral's name for it is "bacterial SSU rRNA". It matches the Rfam family "Bacterial small subunit ribosomal RNA", at positions 9 to 530 of the family's 1533-position model. The record is from RNAcentral.